Molecule: long non-coding RNA, 473 nt
Organism: Panthera uncia (snow leopard)
Lineage: Eukaryota; Metazoa; Chordata; Mammalia; Carnivora; Felidae
Exons: 2
Source: RefSeq, a predicted model, not a curated record
GACAUGGGAGCCUAAUCAGACAAAAGGAAAGAACUCAUACUCCAUCUCUGAAAGUAGUGUUUAUCAUGUCUCUCCUGCUGGGUGUGACAAGGAGGCAUGGACCUCUGAUUACCACUGGCCACCAUCUGAGACCACAGGGGAACCAACUUGAAAAUGAAAUUGACACUGAGGAGAGCACAGGGAUAGAAUGAAUCUGGGCCCUUGGCAACAUCAUUGACUUCAAGUAUGCAAACUCUCUGCAUUCUUUGCUCCUGCGUAAAUGGACUGGCAAGACUCAGCCUCGGGGCACCUUACAAUCAGCGGUUCCUCAAAAUGAGAAGAUAAGAAGGGACCCAGCAUGGAUCCCAGGGGGAAUGAGUUGUCACAGAUCUCUCAUAUGUCCCUCAUGUGCAGCAUCUUGAGGUAAAAAAAAGACCAUGUUGUGAACUGUUUCUCUAAUUGGAAACUACCAUCAAUAAAACUUAUUUAUUCAA